CUCGCUCCUACACAAGGAGACUCCCACAUGAGCGGCGGCUUGGGUUUGCCCAAACCCUAGCCGCCCUCUUCCUAUCUCUCUCUCCUCUGACUCGCCAUAAAAAGCAUGUGCAGAUCUGCGGAGGCGGUGGCAUGCGGCCAUGGAGACUCGGCGGUAGGCACGACGGUGCUCGCGUGGUCGGAGCUGCAAACCGGAGGCGCUGAUGUGAACCGAGGGUACGACCGGGAAGCUUCUUCUUUCCCUCAGGUCCAGCUUCUUUCCCUUCUCCUUCCCUCAGGUUCCCUUGGUGUGGCAUGUUGAGGGAGGUCUUCUGCAUGGAUCUCGGCGAUGGCGGUUUAGACCCACAACUUGCUCCACAAGAUCCAGGUGCCCGACGAUGAGGAUGAGGAGCAGCGACUUGCUCCACUUGAUCCAGGUGCCUGGGAAUGAGGAUGAGAAACAAUGUCGUGGCAUACGGUAGAAAUCUCCAUGGAUGGUGGCUUUCUACCGUAACUUCCCCUUCGUUGCCCCUCAAAUCGAUAGUCGAUUUUUACCUUCUCUACAUCUACACCCCUAACUUUUACCUUCUCUACGUUUACGGGUAAUAUUGAAAAUUUUUAGAAACUAAACCAAGCCUUUUUAGAGGGGAGGUGUGCCUAUAAAAACAAGUUGGAUUAUUUCCGUAAAUCCUUUUUAUGUACUAUGUAGCGUGUCAUCAUCACCACUAGCGAAAUCGUAUAUAGAACGAUAAAUAUGUAAGAGGUACACUAGCUGGGGGGACUGUGAGUAAGAGCACGUAUAAUAAUGGGCUUAUAGCCAAACUAAUGCUGAUGUGGAGGAGAGAAGAGAGGAGAGAGAUGAUAGCUUAGCACUUAUAUAAGCACCAAGCUGGGCACAGAUGCAUAGGUAGUGGUGGGUCCAAAUAGCAAGUGUUGUGAAAAGGAAUAGGAAAGAGAAGAUAUUUUAGAGACAAGUAUGAGAUAACUUAUUGUAUAACUUGGCUCUAAUCACUUGGCUUAUAGCCAAGCACUUGGCUCUAUUAGGGCACUCACAAUGCAGACUCUAUCAUAGAGUCUAAAGUUAUUUAUUGACUCGAACAAUAUGGACUUAGAGUUUAAAUAAGACUUGAAGUCUUAUUUUUUCUAUCUCAAUUAAUUAUAUAUUAUUUAUGGUAUUUUGCUGAUGUGGCAGCAUAUUUAUUGAAGAAAGAGGUAGAAAAAAUAAGACUCUAAAUCUUAUUUAGACUCUAAGUCUACGUCUACGUCCACAUUGUUCGAGGUAAUAAAUAACUUUAGACUCUACGAUAGAGUCUGCAUUGUGAGUGCCCUUAUUGAUCUUGCUCUAGGUAACAUGCAAAUAAACAGUGGCAGAAGUUAAUCGAUCGACUUGGAACUUAGUACUAAUUAAUCAUUGCACUGAAUUUUGCAUAAAAAAUUACUAUAUCUAGUUGGUUGACUAGAAUGCCCACGAGUUCUCCCUGUAAACCUCCACCUCCUCUUCCACAGUGUAGUCGUUGACGAUGCCAAACGUCUCGCGGAUCUGGUCGAUUGUCCUUCCCUUCAACUUAUCCGCCACCGCCUUGCACGUCAGGUCGAACAGCUUCUUGAUGUGGAGGUACUCGGCCGCAUGUACCAGGUCGAUAAGGGUGUCGUUGUCGACGUCGACGAAGUCGUCAUCGAAGCGGGCGAGGGGGUGCUCGUCGCCGGGUGCGCAGAAGAUGUAGUCGUCGGGCCGGCCGACGACGGCGGCGGCGUCGAAGUGCUUAUUGACGUAGUGGAGAACGCGGGAGAGCGUGGCGGCGGUGACGUUCGGGAUCGCGAGCGUGGUGGUGGCGGCGGUGUCCGCGCGGGACGGCGACUCCUCGUCGAUCAUGCCCUUGAUCGUCACCGAGGCGGCGCUGAUGACCUCCUCCGACACCUCGAAGGCCUCGCCGUCCGAGCUGCGGAGGAAGACCACCUUCUUCUCCGACGCCAUUUAUUCUGAUCGACAAUGCUAUGCCGGGGACUAUAGGUUUAGCCGGCGUUUCUUUCUUCUCUCUCUCAAUGUUAUAUAUAUAUGGGAUGAUCGAGAAAUUGAUGCGCGAUGCGUGGCUGCGCCGCUUCGAUAGACGGUAGGGUUUGCUCGCGAUUUAUACGAGACGCGAGGCGGAAAACUAGUCGGAUACGAUCUGCAUCUGGCGCGGCCACGGCCGCCGCGCCAUGGGCUAAAUCCGUGGACGUGGACGGGAUAAUAAAUUGUAGUAUUGUGUAAACCACGCCCAAUGAGGUCACUACAAUGGUCCACAUCAUAUACUCUGGGUAAAAAGAGAGAGAUUUGAAGCUAUAAAAAAGAGAGAUGUGUUUUUUUAUUUACAUAGGAUUUACUAUGCAUUUAGAAUUAAAGUUUAGAUAUACACUAUAUGUAGUUAUGUAAUAAACAUAAUUUGAAACGAAGUACUGGUUGAGCUGAUCUCAAUCUUUCUGAUUUACCAAUUUCUCACUCAUUUUCUUCCCUAAAAUUGCACAUUUGCACAUGUUAUCUGUCAGCUCUCACUGCCGUCCUCUCAUUCUCUGCUCCCUUUCAUUGGAUCCCUAUGACUAGAUCUAUUUCUACAAUGAAUUUGCAUAAAUAGAUUUUUUUUAGAGCGGAUGUUUAGCCCGUUUUUCAUUAAGAAGGAGAGUAACCAAAUGUUACAUAAAUAGAUGUUAUAUACUACGGCACUUCUACUGCCUUCUAACUAUUUUUUAAUGGCGGUUGAUCAUUGAUCUUUAACUGCAAGUGCCUCAUUGUUGCAAAUAAAUGGUCUCCAAAACUAUUCUAUUUCUAGAUAUAGAUUCAUAAUUGUCAUUAAAAACGUUUUUUGGACAAUCAAUAAUAUUAAUUGCCUAUAGGGACCUCGUAGCGCCACGCUAGCUAAGCUCAACCACGCCACCACCACCACGGUGCCCACAUAACCACCUGCCCUCAUCAGGGGCCAUCGUGCACAUCAGCGUCGGUGGCUAGAAGCCACCAUCACUCCUGUGCAGAGCAGAGAGAGAGAGAGAAGAGCAAAGGGGAUAGAACUAUAAAAGAGAUAGGGGGAAGAGAGAGAGAGAGAGAUUGUGUUGGGGGGUAAGAGAGAAAGGUAAGAGAGAGAUGUGAUGGCGUAAUAAAGUGAUGGACCCCAUAAUCAUUUUGUCUUUAAAUUAUGCUCUUAGGCUGACUAUUUUAGAUUGACUCAAGAAAUAGACCCUUAUUUUUAGAUAUGGCUAGUAUUUCCAUCCAUUCCUAAAAAUACGGCUAGCUAAGGUAUUCUCUCUAUUUUCAGAGGUGACUAUACUAGCAACCAUGUUGAAAAAAGAAAGCAAUGCACCUGAAAAUCUUUUUUUAGUAAUGCAUCCUAGCGUUGCCUCGUAAUUAAGCUAAACCUUCUUCUAAGCCUAGAACAAAGAGCCUCAAACCUAUAUAUCUAUAUCUAUAUCUAUAUCUAUAUCUAUAUCUAUAUCUAUAUCUUAAUGUAUAAGCUAUUUUAAUAUAUAACUUUCAACCUCUUAGUGCAAGCUAUCCAUGUCACCUAGACUAAGUGCAAUUACUAUUUUCAAUAUGUAAGAAAUAUACAAAGCAUCCAUAUGUUUCUGUUCGUUUAUGGCCUUGUUUAGUUCCCAGAAAAUUUUGCAAAAAUUUUCAGAUUCCCCAUCACAUCAAAUCUUUAGACGCAUGCAUGAAGUAUUAAAUAUAGACGAAAAUAAAAACUAAUUGCACAGUUUGGUCGGAAUCAACGAGAUGAAUCUUAUGAGUCUAGUUAGUACAUAUUUGGAUAAUAUUUGUCAAAUACAAACGAAAGUAGUACUAUUCCUAUUUUGUAAAAAAUUUUGGAACUAAACAAGGCCUAUUUGUUGUUCGAUCUGUCAUUUUACAGUUCAAUCUAAUACUAAUAUAGUUCUUUUAUUGGAUUCCUUUAUUGUCCUGCCGAUGCAAGAAUAUAUAAAUAUAACUCAUACAUAAGUCUCACAACAUCGCAUAGGGUUAUCCUUCUAGUUCCUCUAAAUCCUAACCUACACUACAUGUUGGACGAACUUCCUUUUGGCAAUAGGUGCAGCCGCAUCCACGAAAAUAUAAAAGAGAAUAAUUAUGAUCAAAUUUUUAAUAUAUAUAUAUAUACUCUAUAAUAAAAUCAUAUGUACCCACAAGUAUAACGCACUCCUCUUAAUUUUGCUCUAACUCUGACACUGUUUCUAGGCGACGAAGAACAUAGGUCAAGGUCUUUGCAUUAGAGAAGACAGUAGCCGGUUGGGUACGGAGUCGAUAAAUCUGAACACAUUAUUACGUUGGGAAACAUAUAUAGUACGGACAUGAUGUGUUAACAUUAAUUGCAUUCCGCAGCACCAUAUUGUUAAGCUAAGGUCUUGUUUAGUUCUAUUUUUUUUGCAAAAUAGACAUUGUAACAAUUUCAUUUGUAUUUGAUAAAUAUUAUCUAAUCAUAAACUAAAUAGACUUGUUUGAGUCUUGGUCCAAAUUGAGUACUAAAAGAUAUAAUACAUUGUUGUUAACAGCAGCAUCAGCCUUAUUGUGGGAUAUAUGGCUAACACGGAAUGAAAUAGUUUUUGACAAAGGCAAACCUAAAUCUCUUUUGCAGGUACUCUUCAGAGGAACUCACUGGCUACGCCAAUGGGCGAGCUUGCAGCGGCAUGAUGAUCUCAAAGAUCAUCUUAUCUCAGCAGCAGUCCACCUCGAGACAUCGGCUUUAGCUUUUUUUUAGUUCCAAUGGUUGGCUCGCACAUAGACAUGUUGGUUGCGUUUAGUCGAAAACUUUUUUCCAGUGAUUUUGUGGGGCUGCUUCUUAUACAGUCGAACUUACGGCACUUGGUCGGUGUAAUAAUUG
RNAcentral lists this long non-coding RNA (4819 nucleotides) under Sorghum bicolor (sorghum). Its description in RNAcentral is "long non-coding RNA (SBIC_LNC007245)". The record is from RNAcentral. Lineage: Eukaryota; Viridiplantae; Streptophyta; Magnoliopsida; Poales; Poaceae.